RNAcentral lists this ribosomal RNA (119 nucleotides) under Nitrososphaeraceae archaeon. The record is from RNAcentral. Lineage: Archaea; Thermoproteati; Nitrososphaerota; Nitrososphaeria; Nitrososphaerales; Nitrososphaeraceae.
ACAGCCGGUCAUAGUGGCAGGGCGCGACCCGGUCCCAUACCGAACCCGGAAGUCAAACCUGUCGUCGCUGCCUAGUACUGAUCUACGAGAGUGGUUGGGAAGGGGCAGUGCUGGCGUUA